This 1382-nucleotide ribosomal RNA is filed under the name Planktothrix agardhii HAB1448. RNAcentral's name for it is "16S ribosomal RNA". It matches the Rfam family "Bacterial small subunit ribosomal RNA". Lineage: Bacteria; Bacillati; Cyanobacteriota; Cyanophyceae; Oscillatoriales; Microcoleaceae. The record is from RNAcentral.
AGUCGAACGGAAUCCUUAGGGAUUUAGUGGCGGACGGGUGAGUAACACGUAAGAACCUGCCUCUAGGACGGGGACAACAGUUGGAAACGACUGCUAAACCCGGAUGAGCCGAAAGGUAAAAGAUUAAUCGCCUAGAGAGGGGCUUGCGUCUGAUUAGCUAGUUGGUGAGGUAAGAGCCCACCAAGGCGACGAUCAGUAGCUGGUCUGAGAGGAUGAUCAGCCACACUGGGACUGAGACACGGCCCAGACUCCUACGGGAGGCAGCAGUGGGGAAUUUUCCGCAAUGGGCGAAAGCCUGACGGAGCAAGACCGCGUGGGGGAGGAAGGUUCUUGGAUUGUCAACCCCUUUUCUCAGGGAAGAACACAAUGACGGUACCUGAGGAAAAAGCAUCGGCUAACUCCGUGCCAGCAGCCGCGGUAAUACGGGGGAUGCAAGCGUUAUCCGGAAUGAUUGGGCGUAAAGAGUCCGUAGGUAGUCAUCCAAGUCUGCUGUUAAAGAGCGAGGCUUAACCUCGUAAAGGCAGUGGAAACUGGAAGACUAGAGUGUAGUAGGGGCAGAGGGAAUUCCUGGUGUAGCGGUGAAAUGCGUAGAGAUCAGGAAGAACACCGGUGGCGAAGGCGCUCUGCUGGGCUAUAACUGACACUGAGGGACGAAAGCUAGGGGAGCGAAUGGGAUUAGAUACCCCAGUAGUCCUAGCGGUAAACGAUGGAAACUAGGUGUGGCCUGUAUCGACCCGGGCCGUGCCGAAGCAAACGCGUUAAGUUUCCCGCCUGGGGAGUACGCACGCAAGUGUGAAACUCAAAGGAAUUGACGGGGGCCCGCACAAGCGGUGGAGUAUGUGGUUUAAUUCGAUGCAACGCGAAGAACCUUACCAGGACUUGACAUCUCUGGAAUCUCCUUGAAAGGGGAGAGUGCCGUAAGGAACCGGAAGACAGGUGCUGCAUGGCUGUCGUCAGCUCGUGUCGUGAGAUGUUGGGUUAAGUCCCGCAACGAGCGCAACCCUCGUCGUUAGUUGCCAUCAUUAAGUUGGGAACUCUAGCGAGACUGCCGGUGACAAACCGGAGGAAGGUGAGGAUGACGUCAAGUCAGCAUGGCCCUUACGUCCUGGGCGACACACGUACUACAAUGCGAGGGACACAGAGCAGCCAACCCGCGAGGGAGAGCGAAUCUCACAAACCCUGGCACAGUUCAGAUUGCAGGCUGCAACUCGCCUGCAUGAAGGAGGAAUCGCUAGUAAUCGCAGGUCAGCAUACUGCGGUGAAUCCGUUCCCGGGCCUUGUACACACCGCCCGUCACACCAUGGAAGUGAGCCACGCCCGAAGUCAUUACUCUAACCCUUUCGGGGGAGGAGGGUGCCAAAGCGGGGGUUGAUGACUGGGGU